This is a non-coding RNA of Ixodes scapularis (black-legged tick), 73 nucleotides long. The record is from Rfam. NCBI's taxonomy places the organism in Eukaryota, Metazoa, Arthropoda, Arachnida, Ixodida, Ixodidae.
UCUUUGUUCGUUCAGUUCGUAGAGCGCUUCACUAGAGAUGGAGAGGUUCCUGGUUAGAAACCAGGACGAGGCG